UGGGGAAUAUUGGACAAUGGGCGAAAGCCUGAUCCAGCAAUGCCGCGUGAGUGAUGAAGGCCUUAGGGUUGUAAAGCUCUUUUUACCAGGGAUGAUAAUGACAGUACCUGGAGAAUAAGCUCCGGCUAACUCCGUGCCAGCAGCCGCGGUAAUACGGAGGGAGCUAGCGUUGUUCGGAAUUACUGGGCGUAAAGCGUACGUAGGCGGUGACUCAAGUCAGAGGUGAAAGCCUGGAGCUCAACUCCAGAACUGCCUUUGAAACUAGGUCGCUAGAAUCACGGAGAGGUGAGUGGAAUUCCGAGUGUAGAGGUGAAAUUCGUAGAUAUUCGGAAGAACACCAGUGGCGAAGGCGGCUCACUGGACGUGUAUUGACGCUGAGGUACGAAAGCGUGGGGAGCAAGCAGGAUUAGAUACCCCCGUAGUCCCUGAGCGGGCUGGCAAGGCGCAU
This 448-nucleotide ribosomal RNA is filed under the name uncultured bacterium. RNAcentral describes it as "bacterial SSU rRNA". It matches the Rfam family "Bacterial small subunit ribosomal RNA", at positions 355 to 825 of the family's 1533-position model. The record is from RNAcentral.